RNAcentral lists this ribosomal RNA (277 nucleotides) under uncultured bacterium. RNAcentral describes it as "partial 16S ribosomal RNA". It matches the Rfam family "Bacterial small subunit ribosomal RNA", at positions 76 to 353 of the family's 1533-position model. The record is from RNAcentral.
UCAAACUGAAGAUGGCGACCGGCGCACGGGUGAGUAACACGUAUCCAACCUACCGAUAACUCGGGGAUAGCCUUUCGAAAGAAAGAUUAAUACCCGAUGGCAUAGUUCUUCCGCAUGGUAGAACUAUUAAAGAAUUUCGGUCAUCGAUGGGGAUGCGUUCCAUUAGGUUGUUGGCGGGGUAACGGCCCACCAAGCCUUCGAUGGAUAGGGGUUCUGAGAGGAAGGUCCCCCACAUUGGAACUGAGACACGGUCCAAACUCCUACGGGAGGCAGCAUG